GCCCAGCCAGGCUGCAAUGGCCACCUGGAGGACAACGAUGGCAGCACCGCGCUCUCAAUAGCCCUGGAAGCAGGACACAAGGACAUCGCUGUUCUCCUCUAUGCCCACGUCAACUUCGCAAAAGCCCAGUCUCCGGGCACGCCUAGGCUUGGAAGGAAGACGUCUCCAGGUCCCACCCACCGAGGUUCAUUUGAAUGAUUACGUGCAAAUCGGUCUCCAUUUACACGCCACCAUUAAGCUGCUAAUUGUUCCUCUUGGGUUGACAGAUACUGAAUGUAUAUGUAUUGUGCCUGAGCUCACCAGCAAACAGAAGCAUAAAGCUGAGGGCUAAAGGCUGAAGCUUUCACAGUGCAGAGACUGCUGGCCUGGGCACGCCUCCUUUCUGGCCAUCUUCUCUCUGUGUAGGGCACACUUUAAUCCAGUCUCUGUUGCUGUCAAGUCUCUGCUCCGUUAUGUACAGUCGUGGGAAAUUGUAACCUGACCUGAAUGGGCACCUUCUGUUCACUUCUCUCCACUCCCCCACCACCACUAAGAAGUGUCAGGUUCUCACUGACAUCGUGUUUUAAAAUUUUUCCACAAAUAUUUACUAAAUGUGGAAUCAUUAGAAAUCUCUUCCAAAAUUCCAUUCCAAGGUGAUGUUCCUUUUGUCUGUAUUCUUUUAAAGUAAGGAAGUUGCGAUGACUUUGACUAUCAGCAACUUGGGCUGGUAGUUUCUGAUUUAAAAAUAGAAGAUGGAAUUCUCAAAGUAUAGAACUUAUAAAAGGAAGUAUUUUUUAAUUGGUUUUAUCUAGGUGGAUGUAUUAUACGACUUUUUAUAUAAAAGGUGUCUAUGAAAUUGACAGUUAUUUUCAACUUUUAUAUUCUAUAGUAAUUAAAGACAUGAAGAAACUAUAUGUAACAUUACCAUAUUUUUAUUAAUAAUGGCACAACUAUGUAUCUAUUGAUAAAAGUUGGAUUGUGUUAGAGGAAUUGGCUAUUAUUUGCCUCUAGAGAAACAUAGUAUAUAGUUCUUUGUAUUUAUGGAUUGAUUCCUUCAUACCAGGUCACAUUUACUUUGGUCCUAUAUGUAUUUAAAUGUUUGAAGUGCCUUAGACUCUUGCCAUAUUUCCAAAAUAAAAUUUCAUUAAGCUUU
Microcebus murinus (gray mouse lemur) is the source of this 1132-nucleotide non-coding RNA. The record is from RefSeq and is a predicted model, not a curated record. Lineage: Eukaryota; Metazoa; Chordata; Mammalia; Primates; Cheirogaleidae.